This 111-nucleotide small RNA is filed under the name Chrysemys picta bellii (western painted turtle). RNAcentral's name for it is "TUC338 (ENSCPBG00000011930.1)". Lineage: Eukaryota; Metazoa; Chordata; Testudines; Emydidae. The record is from RNAcentral.
ACAGAGAUGGCAGGGCAGCGGCAGCAACAGUGCAAGCUUCUCACAACUGCCCUGCCAAUGUGCUUCAGCCCUCUUCUGGAGAGACAGAGCAAAAGGAGCUUUCUCUCUGGC